This 686-nucleotide ribosomal RNA is filed under the name Lycium sp. UASWS1514. Its description in RNAcentral is "eukaryotic LSU rRNA". The stretch from base 257 to 409 matches the Rfam family "5.8S ribosomal RNA". The record is from RNAcentral. Lineage: Eukaryota; Viridiplantae; Streptophyta; Magnoliopsida; Solanales; Solanaceae.
CAUUUUCGAACCUGCAAAGCAGAAUGACCCGCGAACACGUUUCAACGCUGGGGAGCCACGCGGGCGGGGUUCUUCGGCCCUCCGUGCGUGCAUCUCCCUCUCGUCCCCGGCGCGCGCGCCCGCGCCCGCGUGCGCGUUGGGUGACUUACGAACCCCGGCCCGGAAAGCGCCAAGUAAUACUUAAAUUGAUAGCCUGCCUCUCGCGCCCCGUCCGCGGUGCGCGCGGGAGUACCCGGGGUUCUCUUGAAACAAAAACGUCUCUCGGCAACGGAUAUCUCGGCUCUCGCAUUGAUGAAGAACGUAAAAUGCGAUACUUGGUGUGAAUUGCAGAAUCCCGUGAACCAUCGAGUCUUUGAACGCAAGUUGCGCCCGAAGCCAUUAGGCCGAGGGUACAUCUACCUGGGCGUUACGCAUCGCGUCACCCCCGCACCCCGCGCCCAUACUCUGGGUCGCAGUAGUGUCGCGGGGCGGAUACUGGCCUCCCGUGCGCCUUGCGCUCGCGGCUGGCCUAAAUGCGAGUCCACGUCGACGGACAUCACGGCAAGUGGUGGUUGUAACCUAACUCUCGAAGUGUCGUGGCUAUACCCCGUCGUGCGUUUGGCCUCCCAGACUCUUCAUGCGCUUAGGCGCUCCGACCGCGACCCAGGUCAGGCGGGAUUACCCGCUAAGUUUAAGCAUAUCAAUAA